CCUACGGGAGGCAGCAGUGAGGAAUAUUGGUCAAUGGGCGAGAGCCUGAACCAGCCAAGUCGCGUGAAGGAUGACGGCCCUACGGGUUGUAAACUUCUUUUGUCAGGGAGCAAUUGGGUCCACGCGUGGGCUUAGCGAGAGUACCUGAAGAAAAAGCAUCGGCUAACUCCGUGCCAGCAGCCGCGGUAAUACGUAGGGGGCAAGCGUUAUCCGGAUUUACUGGGUGUAAAGGGAGCGUAGACGGAAUUGCAAGUCUGAUGUGAAAAUCCGGGGCCCAACCCCGGAACUGCAUUGGAAACUGUAUUUCUAGAGUGUCAGAGAGGCAAGUGGAAUUCCUAGUGUAGCGGUGAAAUGCGUAGAUAUUAGGAGGAACACCAGUGGCGAAGGCGGCUUACUGGACUGUAACUGACGUUGAGGCUCGAAAGCGUGGGGAGCAAACAGGAUUAGAUACCCGGGUAGUC
This 461-nucleotide ribosomal RNA is filed under the name uncultured bacterium. RNAcentral describes it as "partial 16S ribosomal RNA". It matches the Rfam family "Bacterial small subunit ribosomal RNA", at positions 338 to 795 of the family's 1533-position model. The record is from RNAcentral.